CGGGGUGCAGCAGGCGCGAAAACUUUACAAUGCGGGAAACCGUGAUAAGGGGACACCGAGUGCCAGCAUCAUAUGCUGGCUGUCCAGGUGUGUAAAAUACACCUGUCAGCAAGGGCCGGGCAAGACCGGUGCCAGCCGCCGCGGUAACACCGGCGGCCCGAGUGGUGAUCGUGAUUAUUGGGUCUAAAGGGUCCGUAGCCGGUUUGGUCAGUCCUCCGGGAAAUCUGACGGCUCAACCGUUAGGCUUUCGGGGGAUACUGCCAGGCUUGGAACCGGGAGAGGUAAGAGGUACUACAGGGGUAGGAGUGAAAUCUUGUAAUCCCUGUGAGACCACCUGUGGCGAAGGCGUCUUACCAGAACGGGUUCGACGGUGAGGGACGAAAGCUGGGGGCACGAACCGGAUUAGAUACCCGGGUAGUCCCAGCCGUAAACGAUGCUCGCUAGGUGUCAGGCAUGGCGCGACCGUGUCUGGUGCCGCAGGGAAGCCGUGAAGCGAGCCACCUGGGAAGUACGGCCGCAAGGCUGAAACUUAAAGGAAUUGGCGGGGGAGCACAAGGGCGAAUNGCG
RNAcentral lists this ribosomal RNA (567 nucleotides) under uncultured archaeon. RNAcentral describes it as "bacterial SSU rRNA". It matches the Rfam family "Archaeal small subunit ribosomal RNA", at positions 326 to 893 of the family's 1478-position model. The record is from RNAcentral.